Molecule: ribosomal RNA, 550 nt
Filed under: Microascus alveolaris
Lineage: Eukaryota; Fungi; Ascomycota; Sordariomycetes; Microascales; Microascaceae
Description: eukaryotic LSU rRNA
Rfam family: Eukaryotic large subunit ribosomal RNA
Source: RNAcentral
GCGGAGGAAAAGAAACCAACAGGGAUUGCCCCAGUAACGGCGAGUGAAGCGGCAACAGCUCAAAUUUGAAAUCUGGUCCCCCCGCGGGGCCCGAGUUGUAAUUUGAAGAGGAUGCUUCUGGCAAGGUGCCGUCCGAGUUCCCUGGAACGGGACGCCGCAGAGGGUGAGAGCCCCGUACGGUCGGACGCCGAGCCUCUGUGAAGCUCCUUCGACGAGUCGAGUAGUUUGGGAAUGCUGCUCAAAAUGGGAGGUAAACCCCUUCUAAAGCUAAAUACCGGCCAGAGACCGAUAGCGCACAAGUAGAGUGAUCGAAAGAUGAAAAGCACUUUGAAAAGAGAGUUAAAAAGCACGUGAAAUUGUUGAAAGGGAAGCGCUUGCGACCAGACUCGCGCCCGUCGGAUCAGCCGUCGCUCGUCGGCGGCGCACUCCGGCGGGCUCGGGCCAGCAUCAGUUCGCCUCGGGGGGAGAAAGGCGGCGGGAAUGUGGCUCUACGGAGUGUUAUAGCCCGCCGCGUAAUACCCCCGGGCGGACUGAGGACCGCGCGUAGCAC